This 269-nucleotide ribosomal RNA is filed under the name uncultured archaeon. Its description in RNAcentral is "partial 16S ribosomal RNA". It matches the Rfam family "Archaeal small subunit ribosomal RNA", at positions 715 to 982 of the family's 1478-position model. The record is from RNAcentral.
AGACGUCUACAUUAGACUACCCCCGUAGUCCCAGCCGUAAACUAUGCGCGUUAGGUGUAUCGGGUGACCACGAGUCACCGAGGUGCCGAAGGGAAACCGUGAAACGUGCCGCCGUGGGAAGUACGGUCGCAAGGCUAGAAACUUAAAGGAAUUGGCGGGGGAGCACCACAACGGGUGGAGCCUGCGGUUUAAUUGGACUCAACGCCGGGAAGCUCACCGGAUAAGACAGCGGAAUGAUUGCCGGGCUGAAGACUCUGCAUGACUAGCUG